CACAGACACAGAUCACAGUUUUUAUCUUCUCUGAUUGCUCAGCCCUCGAGAUCUGUAUAUUACUGCAGAAAUAUCCUGCUGGGAAAAGGCUGCAUAAAUUCUGGCCACCCUGUAAAUCCCACACUGAAGACUCACUUGGGAAGAAGACACAAAAUGUUGUGCUGGCUCUCUGAGUGAAGGUUGUGCAACCUGCCUCUCCAAGGUCAGACAAGCAUCCUUCCAAAGCCUCUAGCUCUGAUUCUGUUUCUUCAAGCACACAAGCUUACAGGUGGACAUAGAAUUCCUGUUCACUCCUGGUCCUGUGGACAUCCUGAAUCCCUGCUGAGAGCCUUGUUCCUGUUUCUUUAUAGACAUUCUUCCAGUUCUUUGCUGAUGUCAUAUCCUCAGUUUUCAUUAUUAAAUACCCAUUGUGGGCUUUGGCUCCUACAGGUAAAUAUUCAGGAUCUUCCACUUUAUGUCAACUUUUCCAGAGUACCACAAAAGCUGUUAGAGGAAUUAAUCACCUUUUGAUUUCCAUGGGACAGUGGAAAACCUGUGAGAGAGAACUUAGGCAAUGAUAUCUGUUAUUAUCACCCUUCUGAAACUCACCACCGCUGAGUGAAAAUGAGCUUUGUGAAGGU
RNAcentral lists this long non-coding RNA (620 nucleotides) under Parus major (Great Tit). Its description in RNAcentral is "lncRNA (ENSPMJG00000006272.1)". The record is from RNAcentral. Lineage: Eukaryota; Metazoa; Chordata; Aves; Passeriformes; Paridae.